GUAGGUGGCAAGCGUUGUCCGGAAUUAUUGGGCGUAAAGCGCGCGCAGGCGGUUCGUUUAAGUCUGAUGUGAAAGCCCACGGGCUCAACCGUGGAGGGUCAUCGGAAACUGGAGAACUUGAGUACAGAAGAGGAAAGCGGAAUUCCACGUGUAGCGGUGAAAUGCGUAGAGAUGUGGAGGAACACCAGUGGCGAAGGCGGCUUUCUGGUCUGUAACUGACGCUGAGGCGCGAAAGCGUGGGGAGCAAACAGGAUUAGAUACCCUGGUAGUCCACGCCGUAAACGAUGAGUGCUAAGUGUUAGGGGGGUUUCCGCCCCUUAGUGCUGCAGCUAACGCAUUAAGCGCUCCGCCUGGGGAGUACGGCCGCAAAGGCUG
This 375-nucleotide ribosomal RNA is filed under the name uncultured organism. RNAcentral describes it as "partial 16S ribosomal RNA". It matches the Rfam family "Bacterial small subunit ribosomal RNA", at positions 527 to 896 of the family's 1533-position model. The record is from RNAcentral.